RNAcentral lists this ribosomal RNA (429 nucleotides) under uncultured bacterium. Its description in RNAcentral is "bacterial SSU rRNA". It matches the Rfam family "Bacterial small subunit ribosomal RNA", at positions 335 to 758 of the family's 1533-position model. The record is from RNAcentral.
ACUCCUACGGGAGGCAGCAGUGGGGAAUAUUGCACAAUGGGGGAAACCCUGAUGCAGCCAUGCCGCGUGUGUGAAGAAGGCCUUCGGGUUGUAAAGCACUUUCAGUAGGGAGGAAGGUAGUGUAGUUAACACCUGCACUAUUUGACGUUACCUACAGAAGAAGCACCGGCUAACUCCGUGCCAGCAGCCGCGGUAAUACGGAGGGUGCGAGCGUUAAUCGGAAUUACUGGGCGUAAAGCGCAUGCAGGCGGCCUGUUAAGUCAGAUGUGAAAGCCCGGGGCUUAACCUCGGAAUUGCAUUUGAAACUGGCAGGCUAGAGUCUUGUAGAGGGGUUAGAAUUUCAGGUGUAGCGGUGAAAUGCGUAGAGAUCUGAAGGAAUACCAGUGGCGAAGGCGGCCCCUGGACAAAGACUGACGCUCAGAUGCGAAA